UCCAGGGUAGCCUAGUGGACAUGGCAUCUGCCCGGUAAGCGGAACACUGUGGGUUCGAUUUGUAUCCCUGGAA
Molecule: non-coding RNA, 73 nt
Organism: Cordylochernes scorpioides
Lineage: Eukaryota; Metazoa; Arthropoda; Arachnida; Pseudoscorpiones; Chernetidae
Source: the annotation of a GenBank genome assembly